UACGUAGGGCGCAAGCGUUGUCCGGAAUUAUUGGGCGUAAAGAGCUCGUAGGUGGCGUGUCGCGUCUGCCGUGAAAGCCCAUGGCUUAACUGUGGGUCUGCGGUGGAUACGGGCAGGCUGGAGGCUGGUAGGGGCAAGCGGAAUUCCUGGUGUAGCGGUGAAAUGCGCAGAUAUCAGGAGGAACACCGGUGGCGAAGGCGGCUUGCUGGGCCAGUUCUGACGCUGAGGAGCGAAAGCGUGGGGGAGCGAACAGG
This 254-nucleotide ribosomal RNA is filed under the name uncultured bacterium. RNAcentral's name for it is "partial 16S ribosomal RNA". It matches the Rfam family "Bacterial small subunit ribosomal RNA", at positions 524 to 776 of the family's 1533-position model. The record is from RNAcentral.